UGAAACCCAAAUCAUUCUUCUGGGCUGUCCUUCAGGUACUGUUUUCGCGCGCUCUCUCUCUCUCUCCCCACGCCGCCCCCGGAGUUGGAUGUGUUUUCUGGUGCGCCAUUGAUCGAUUAUGGUUUCUCUCCUCGGUUUGCGAGUUUUUUUUUGGCCGUUGCUUGAGGUUUCGUUUUGUUGUUUUUGGAUAGCGGGCUGUGCUUCUGCUUUGGGCUUCGAGGGUCUUCUACGCUGUGCUUCAGGUUCAACGACUCUUGUCGAUCUUCUAAUAGUGGAGAUUUGAAAGGGACAAUGGAAAGUCUUGUUAAGAUUGUCCACAUUCAAGGGCGGAGGCAAUUAUUUUCUGGGCUCAGCAUCAACUACCUCAAGGUUGUGCCAUCAGUGGCGAUUGGUUUCACUGUUUAUGAUGUUAUGAAAUCGUUCCUAAGGGUCCCGUCGUGAGAUGAAGCCACUGUAGAAGUGGUGACCAACAAAAGGAACACCAACGUCCAACCAUCAUCCCUGCACUCAUGACUACCCCAUUUUUGGAACUCAACAACAGCCAGCCACAUUGACCCAGUAAUUGAAGGGUACUUGUGCAUGGCCUUUCUUUACAACGCUGAAGGCUGUCGUCUACGUUUCAGACCAUUUAAUAAGGUCGAAAUAUCCAUUUAGCUAAGCUACGGUGAUUAUUAAUAAGGUGUAUAUAUAUAUCUCAUUCAUUCAAGAUUUCAACACAGCUUUGUAUAUUCUAUCUCUCUCUCUCUCUCUCUCUCUCUCUCUCUCUCUCUCAAGGUUGCAGAUGUGAAGUUACUUUUCAUUAGCAACCACCAUUCGGAUGAGAGAACAAGAGAAACAGUGGGGCUAUUCUCGAGCAUUAUUCGGGUAAGGAGAAUUGACUCGAGUUCAAGUGGAAAGUCAAAUUGCAUGAAAUGACCCAUUACUAUUGUCCAGCAUGGUUUUAAAUUGCGGUCGCGGUCGGGAGUAACGGGUAUGGGGAGUAUCGGGGUCAAUGUGUAAUGGGAAUCGGAGACCGCAGUCGUGAAUUUUUUUAA
Molecule: RNA transcript, 1034 nt
Organism: Rhododendron vialii
Lineage: Eukaryota; Viridiplantae; Streptophyta; Magnoliopsida; Ericales; Ericaceae
Exons: 3
Source: RefSeq, a predicted model, not a curated record